CCUACGGGAGGCAGCAGUAAGGAAUAUUGGUCAAUGGAGGCAACUCUGAACCAGCCAUGCCGCGUGCAGGAUGACGGCCCUAUGGGUUGUAAACUGCUUUUAUACAAGAGAAAACCCUGGUACGUGUACCAGGUUGAUAGUAUUGUAAGAAUAAGCAUCGGCUAACUUCGUGCCAGCAGCCGCGGUAAGACGAAGGAUGCAAGCGUUAUCCGGAUUCAUUGGGUUUAAAGGGUGCGUAGGCGGACUGAUAAGUCAGUGGUGAAAUCUCUUUGCUUAACAAAGAAACUGCCAUUGAUACUGUCGGUCUAGAGUAUAGAUGACGUUGGCGGAAUAUGACAUGUAGUGGUGAAAUACUUAGAUAUGUCAUAGAACACCGAUUGCGAAGGCAGCUAACGAAACUAUAACUGACGCUGAGGCACGAAAGUGCGGGGAUCAAACAGGAUUAGAUACCCUGGUAGUCCGCACCGUAAACGAUGAUUACUCGUUGUUGGCGAUAUGACAGUCAGCGACCAAGCGAAAGCGAUAAGAAUCCACCUGGGGAGUACGCCGGCAACGGUGAAACUUAAAGGAAUUGACGG
This 578-nucleotide ribosomal RNA is filed under the name uncultured bacterium. Its description in RNAcentral is "bacterial SSU rRNA". It matches the Rfam family "Bacterial small subunit ribosomal RNA", at positions 338 to 916 of the family's 1533-position model. The record is from RNAcentral.